AUCUACGGCCAUACCACCCUAAAUGCGCCCGAUCUCGUCUGAUCUUGGAAGCUAAGCAGGGUCGGGCCUGGUUAGUACUUGGAUGGGAAAAUUGAGAGUCCCCAGGGAAUCCAGAAAUCUCAAAAUU
This is a ribosomal RNA of Gorilla gorilla gorilla (western lowland gorilla), 127 nucleotides long. The record is from Ensembl. NCBI's taxonomy places the organism in Eukaryota, Metazoa, Chordata, Mammalia, Primates, Hominidae.